RNAcentral lists this ribosomal RNA (440 nucleotides) under uncultured bacterium. RNAcentral describes it as "partial 16S ribosomal RNA". It matches the Rfam family "Bacterial small subunit ribosomal RNA", at positions 338 to 795 of the family's 1533-position model. The record is from RNAcentral.
CCUACGGGAGGCAGCAGUGGGGAAUAUUGCACAAUGGGGGAAACCCUGAUGCAGCGACGCCGCGUGAGUGAAGAAGUAUUUCGGUACGUAAAGCUCUAUCAGCAGGGAAGAAAAUGACGGUACCUGACUAAGAAGACCCGGCUAACUACGUGCCAGCAGCCGCGGUAAUACGUAGGGGGCAAGCGUUAUCCGGAUUUACUGGGUGUAAAGGGAGCGUAGACGGCGAUGCAAGUCUGAAGUGAAAGGCGAGGGCCCAACCCCCGGAGUGCAUUGGAAACUGGAUGGCUGGAGUGCAGGAGAGGUAAGUGGAAUUCCUAGUGUAGCGGUGAAAUGCGUAGAUAUUAGGAGGAACACCAGUGGCGAAGGCGGCUUACUGGACUGUAACUGACGUUGAGGCUCGAAAGCGUGGGGAGCAAACAGGAUUAGAUACCCCUGUAGUC